This 26-nucleotide transfer RNA is filed under the name Cyprinus carpio (common carp). RNAcentral describes it as "partial tRNA-Pro". Lineage: Eukaryota; Metazoa; Chordata; Actinopteri; Cypriniformes; Cyprinidae. The record is from RNAcentral.
CAGAAUUCUAAACUAAACUAUUUUCU